Molecule: transfer RNA, 88 nt
Filed under: Maudiozyma exigua
Lineage: Eukaryota; Fungi; Ascomycota; Saccharomycetes; Saccharomycetales; Saccharomycetaceae
Description: Kazachstania exigua tRNA-Pro
Rfam family: tRNA
About the family: Transfer RNA (tRNA) molecules are approximately 80 nucleotides in length. Their secondary structure includes four short double-helical elements and three loops (D, anti-codon, and T loops). Further hydrogen bonds mediate the characteristic L-shaped molecular structure. tRNAs have two regions of fundamental functional importance: the anti-codon, which is responsible for specific mRNA codon recognition, and the 3' end, to which the tRNAs corresponding amino acid is attached (by aminoacyl-tRNA synthetases). tRNAs cope with the degeneracy of the genetic code in two manners: having more than one tRNA (with a specific anti-codon) for a particular amino acid; and 'wobble' base-pairing, i.e. permitting non-standard base-pairing at the 3rd anti-codon position.
Source: RNAcentral
GGGCGUGUGGUCUAGUGGUAUGAUUCUCGCUUUGGGUUCUUUUACUCGAAUAUGCGAGAGGCCCUGGGUUCAAUUCCCAGUAUGCCCC